UAAAUGGUAUAUUGUACACAGGCAGAGUGUCUCUAUUUGCCGAUUUAGGGAAAUCUUCCGUUUGCCUUGGGGGUAAAGGGAAUUGAUGUAGUUCUCUACAAUGUGGAGGGGCAAGCGGUUGCCGUAGGUUACAUGGAGUGUGAACGUCAGUUUCUUCAUGGGAAGUGUAUACCAUCCGGGUAUAAGGUGGUCCGUUUAACAUGGGUGAAGUCGUCUGAUAUUCCUGCUCCACUUGUGCUAGGAGAUCCUGAUGAGAAUUUCUUCUUGUCAUCUGGACAGUUUUUUGCCCUUCCUAUUGCCAGUUUAAAGCUUGUAAAACUAGUGAGAUAAUAAUCUUCUCUUAAAAAAAAUAGAACAUGGCAGCUGUUGGCCUUAGUCUGAGAAUGUUUUGAAGAGAAUAUGAAAGUAAUCUAUUAACGCUCAUGUUUUUCUCAUGUUCACAUUAACUUGAUCAACUUUUAGCCUCUUCAAGAAGCAGAAUCAGAAGAUAGGGGUGCGCUUAUUGCUCAUUCUUUAAAAUUAAUUAAUUGACACAACAAUAAAGAAUUUCUGUUAAGCUUUUGUUUUGCAAACACAGGAAAACUUGGUGUGCAAGAACAGUUAUAAAUAUCGUGCCCACAACUUCUGUUCAUGUCGUAGAUCCAUUAGAUUGAAAUGUAGUUUUUUUUGUUCGAAUUAUUUACCAGUAGGAUAGUCUUUCAAACCACGUUAGAGUGGCUGAUCAUACAGCUAUUUUUGUUAAAGGAAUGUUAGAAGUUUUCUUGGAACAUAAUUUGAUUUGUAAGUUUCUCUAGAGUUUUGCCUUUUCGAAUCUUUUUUUUUUUUUGCUCUUAUACUUGUUAUAACUUACGUUUUUACUCAUGGCCGUUUCCUUAGUACGGCGCCGCGGUGCUUGUGGCCUACCAUCUCUUGGUCUGUAAUUUUAAGUUUAUUUGGAGUACGAUUAAUAAACAUCGUAACACCGGUA
This is a long non-coding RNA of Stylophora pistillata, 967 nucleotides long. The record is from RefSeq and is a predicted model, not a curated record. NCBI's taxonomy places the organism in Eukaryota, Metazoa, Cnidaria, Anthozoa, Scleractinia, Pocilloporidae.